ACGCUCGACACCUAGAGGCAGCAGUGAGGAAUAUUGGUCAAUGGACGCAAGUCUGAACCAGCCAUGCCGCGUGCAGGAUGACGGCUCUAUGAGUUGUAAACUGCUUUUGUACGAGGGUAAACGCAGAUACGUGUAUCUGUCUGAAAGUAUCGUACGAAUAAGGAUCGGCUAACUCCGUGUCAGCAGCCGCGGUAAUCUGAGCGGGCUGGCAAGGC
RNAcentral lists this ribosomal RNA (215 nucleotides) under uncultured bacterium. RNAcentral describes it as "partial 16S ribosomal RNA". It matches the Rfam family "Bacterial small subunit ribosomal RNA", at positions 326 to 539 of the family's 1533-position model. The record is from RNAcentral.